RNAcentral lists this ribosomal RNA (301 nucleotides) under uncultured bacterium. Its description in RNAcentral is "partial 16S ribosomal RNA". It matches the Rfam family "Bacterial small subunit ribosomal RNA", at positions 509 to 807 of the family's 1533-position model. The record is from RNAcentral.
CAGUAGCCACGGGAAUACGAAGGGGGCUAGCGUUGUUCGGAUUUACUGGGCGUAAAGCGCACGUAGGCGGAUCGAUCAGUCAGGGGUGAAAUCCUGGAGCUCAACUCCAGAACUGCCUUUGAUACUGUCGAUCUCGAGUCCGGAAGAGGUGAGUGGAACUCCUAGUGUAGAGGUGGAAUUUGUAGAUAUUGGGAAGAACACCGGUGGCGAAGGCGGCAACCUGGCUCAUUACUGACGCUGAGGCGCGAAAGCGUGGGGAGCAAACAGGAUUAGAGACCCCUGUAGUCCCUGUCUCUUAUAC